GUCUUCUGUCUGGAAAAUAUUUCACGAGCCAGAUAAAAUUCCGCGACGCGGAGAGGAUACGGUUAUGCCUUGAAAUUCAUUUCUUCCUUUUUCUUCCUUGCUUCCUUUCGACUCAGAUCUGUUGUGUUCUCCAAUGUCCAUUCCAAUGCUCGUUUCUCUAUUUAAGCUCACCUACACAACUAAUCAUGCUGGUUAGUACAUAUAAAAUCAAACGACUCUAAAUGACUAUAAACAAACACGAAUUGAUUUCAAACUUGGCUUAAAUAUGGGUAUUUUUAGGUCCUUAGGCAUAUAAAUACGCCUAAGAUCAUGUGUACUGGGUACUGCUAAUUUUUUUGGGAAAGUUUUUCAUUAUUCAGCAGACCAAAAGGAAAUCACCUUCUUAUUACUCAUAUCACAAAUGGAUGUCCAAUAGUACUGGCUUUCAUUACUGCCUUAUACAGGGGUGUUAUUCACCAAUCACUUACACCAUUCUAUUCACAAAUUUUUCAAAAUACUUUGAGGAGAAGCCCCAAAUAACAGAGAAACCAUUGGAAGACUGAAGAAGAAAGGAAAGGAUAAGAAACUUACUAGAAGAAAGUAGAGAAUAGAGAUCGUUGGAGCAGGGAAUUGAUUCCGAGUUCUGAGAAUGGGUUCUGCCGUUCUGCAAUUGUAUGGG
RNAcentral lists this long non-coding RNA (658 nucleotides) under Solanum tuberosum (potato). Its description in RNAcentral is "long non-coding RNA (STUB_LNC003613)". The record is from RNAcentral. Lineage: Eukaryota; Viridiplantae; Streptophyta; Magnoliopsida; Solanales; Solanaceae.